Molecule: ribosomal RNA, 604 nt
Filed under: uncultured organism
Description: bacterial SSU rRNA
Rfam family: Bacterial small subunit ribosomal RNA
Source: RNAcentral
CUGGCGGCGUGCUUACACAUGCAAGUCGGAUGCGAACGCUGGUUUCGGCUGGUAAGUAGCAUGGCAGACGGGUGAGGAACACGUACUUAACCUGACGCGUGAUGGGGGAUAGUCUCUCGAAAGAGGGUUGAAUACCGCAUAGGCUCUUGAGGUGUAAGGCUUCAGGAGGAAAGUUGGCCUCUGCGUGCAAGCUGAUGUCAUGCGAGGGGGGUGCGUCCUAUUAGCUAGCUGGGAGGGUAAUGGCCUACCAGGGCGACGAUGGGUAGCUGGUCUGAGAGGAUGAUCAGUCACACUGGGACUGAGACACGGCCCAGACUCCUACGGGAGGCAGCAGUGGGGAAUUUUGCGCAAUGGGCGCAAGCCUGACGCAGCAACGCCGCGUGAGUGAAGACGCCUUUCGGGGUGUAAAGCUCUGUCAGUGGGGACGAAGGUGUGGUGAUGAACAGUUGCCAGGCGUGACGGUACCCACGAAGGAAGCCCCGGCUAACUCCGUGCGCCGCGGUAAGACGGAGGGGGCGAGCGUUGUUCGGAAUUACUGCGCGUAAAGCGCACGCAGGCGGCGUGCCAAGUGCGAAGUGAAAGCCCUCGGCUUAACCGGGGAAGG